AUGGACGAUCUUAGAGCCAGGAUAAGUUUCCAACGGGACAUUAGGGACUGUAACAUCCUUUGUUUGUCUGAAACAUGGCUCACGCCCUCGGUCUCGGACGCUGCUGUAACGCCGUCUGAAAACUUCUCUGUUUUACGGAUGGACAGGACAGCCGAGGCCGGUAAAUCCAAGGGUGGAGGAGUGUGUUUCAUGAUUAACAAGAAAUGGUGUGACCCCAGGAAUAUCUCCACUCUGUCGCGCUCCUGCUCGCCUCAUCUGGAACAUUUAUCUAUUAUUUGCCGCCCAUUCUAUCUUCCCCGGGAGUUUUCAUCGAUCAUCGUUACUGCUGUCUACAUCCCACCACAAGCUGACACCGGUUUGGCUUUGUCCGAGCUUCACGAUGCGCUCAGCGGCAACAUCAACAAACAUCCUGACGCUGCUGUUAUCAUCGCUGGGGACUUUAACAAAGCCAACCUCAGGCAGGUUAUGCCUAAUUAUUAUCAACAUGUAUCCUGUCCAACCAGAGGACCGAAUACACUGGAUCACUGCUACACUCAGUUUAAGCAUGCCUACAAAGCUCGCUCACUACCGGCUUUCGGCAAAUCGGACCAUGCCGCCAUUUUCCUCACACCGGAAUAUAAACAAAGGCUCGUUCAAGAACCCCCGGUGCAGAGGGUAGUGACGCGCUGGUCCGCCCACUCAGAAGCCAUGCUACAGGCGGCUCUUGAUGACGUAGACUGGGACAUGUUUCGGGCAAGUUCAUCUGACGUCAGCGAGUUCACGGAUGUAGCAUUAAGCUUUGUAAACACGCUAGCCGAACAAGCUACGGAUACAAUAUCUAUAAGGACCUUCUCUAAUCAGAAACCUUGGGUGGACAGUACAAUCCGUGCAGCAGUAAACAAACGCACUGCUGCUUACAACGCCGGUCUUUUGUCGGGAAACAUGAGUGAGUACAAAGCAUCGUGCUAUGCUCUCCGACGCGCAGUAAGAGCCGCCAAACUCCGAUACAGGGAACGAAUAGAGUCACAUUUCCAGCUCAAUGACUCCCGACGCAUGUGGCAAGGACUAAGAACCAUCUGUGCCUUUGGAAAUAAAUCCUCUGCAGAGGUGAGAGCAGAUCCGUCGCUGGCUGACGAGCUAAACACUUUCUACGGCCGCUUUGAAAGCAAUCUGAGCAGCGCGAGUCUGCCGAUCAGCGCGUCAGGAAGCAGCAUUCAUAGCAGCGAUAAUCAUGUAAUCACCGUGUCUGAGGACGAGGUUCGGAGGGCUCUAAAGCGAGUGAAUGUCAGGAAAGCAGCCGGACCUGAUGGGAUUUCUGGCCGUAUUCUGCGGUCCUGUGCUGAUCAGCUCGCUGGUUUGUUUACAUCCAUUUUUAAUGAGUCUCUUGCUACAUCGGUGGUUCCCACCUCCUUCAAAAAAAUCUGUCAUCAUCCCUGUGCCUAA
This is a long non-coding RNA of Cyprinus carpio carpio, 1422 nucleotides long. The record is from Ensembl. Lineage: Eukaryota; Metazoa; Chordata; Actinopteri; Cypriniformes; Cyprinidae.